This 85-nucleotide transfer RNA is filed under the name Felis catus (domestic cat). It matches the Rfam family "tRNA". From Rfam's summary of the family: Transfer RNA (tRNA) molecules are approximately 80 nucleotides in length. Their secondary structure includes four short double-helical elements and three loops (D, anti-codon, and T loops). The record is from Rfam by way of RNAcentral. Lineage: Eukaryota; Metazoa; Chordata; Mammalia; Carnivora; Felidae.
GCCUGGGUGGCUCAGUCUGUUAAGCGUCCGACUUCGGCUCGGGUCAUGAUCUCACAGUCCGUGGGUUCGAGUCCCUCAUCAGGCU